CGCUGGCGGCGUGCCUAAUACAUGCAAGUCGAACGGUCUUUCUAUGGAAGCUUGCUUCCACUGAGAAGAUAGUGGCGAACGGGUGAGUAACACGUGGGUAACCUGCCCAUAAGAGGGGGAUAACAUCCGGAAACGGGUGCUAAUACCGCAUAGUUUUCUUGAUCGCAUGAUCGGGAAAGGAAAGACGGCCUUUGUGCUGUCGCUUAUGGAUGGACCCGCGGCGUAUUAGUUAGUUGGUGAGGUAACGGCUCACCAAGACGAUGAUACGUAGCCGACCUGAGAGGGUGAUCGGCCACAUUGGGACUGAGACACGGCCCAAACUCCUACGGGAGGCAGCAGUAGGGAAUCUUCCGCAAUGGACGAAAGUCUGACGGAGCAACGCCGCGUGAGUGAAGAAAGGUUUUCGGAUCGUAAAACUCUGUUGUCAGAGAAGAACAAGUUGGAGAGUAACUGCUCCAGCCUUGACGGUAUCUGACCAGAAAGCCACGGCUAACUACGUGCCAGCCGCAGC
Molecule: ribosomal RNA, 511 nt
Filed under: uncultured bacterium
Lineage: Bacteria
Description: bacterial SSU rRNA
Rfam family: Bacterial small subunit ribosomal RNA
Source: RNAcentral